RNAcentral lists this small nuclear RNA (181 nucleotides) under Entamoeba dispar. Its description in RNAcentral is "U2". It matches the Rfam family "U2 spliceosomal RNA". From Rfam's summary of the family: U2 is a small nuclear RNA (snRNA) component of the spliceosome (involved in pre-mRNA splicing). Complementary binding between U2 snRNA (in an area lying towards the 5' end but 3' to hairpin I) and the branchpoint sequence (BPS) of the intron results the bulging out of an unpaired adenosine, on the BPS, which initiates a nucleophilic attack at the intronic 5' splice site, thus starting the first of two transesterification reactions that mediate splicing. RNAcentral also lists the same sequence under 1 other name. The record is from RNAcentral. Lineage: Eukaryota; Evosea; Mastigamoebida; Endamoebidae.
ACACCUUCUCGGCCUUUAUGGCUUUGAUCAAGUGUAGUAUCUGUUCUAGCAAGCUUAACAUCUUGCUUGCCCUUACGGGGGUAAAAGAAAAGAAUUUUUAGAGGGAAGUUAAGGAAAUGGAAGGCAAGCUUUUCAAGAACUUAACAAGGAUGUGCAUGGAAACAUGAUGCGUCUACCCUAA